Molecule: ribosomal RNA, 254 nt
Filed under: uncultured bacterium
Lineage: Bacteria
Description: partial 16S ribosomal RNA
Rfam family: Bacterial small subunit ribosomal RNA
Source: RNAcentral
UACGUAGGGGGCGAGCGUUGUCCGGAUUUAUUGGGCGUAAAGAGCUCGUAGGCGGUUUGUUAAGUCGGACGUGAAAUCUCCACGCUCAACGUGGAGGGGCCGUUCGAUACUGUCGUGACUCGAGUCCGGUAGGGGAGUGUGGAAUUCCCGGUGUAGCGGUGAAAUGCGCAGAGAUCGGGAGGAACACCCGUAGCGAAGGCGGCACUCUGGGCCGGUACUGACGCUGAGGAGCGAAAGCGUGGGGAGCAAACAGG